AACGAACGCUGGCGGCAGGCCUAGCACAUGCCAGUCGAGCGAGGACUUCGGUUCUAGCGGCGGACGGGUGAGUAACGCGUGGGAAUGUGCCCUUCUCUACGGAAUAGCCCUGGGAAACUGGGAGUAAUACCGUAUACGCCCUUUUGGGGAAAGAUUUAUCGGAGAAGGAUCAGCCCGCGUUGGAUUAGGUAGUUGGUGGGGUAAUGGCCUACCAAGCCGACGAUCCAUAGCUGGUUUGAGAGGAUGAUCAGCCACACUGGGACUGAGACACGGCCCAGACUCCUACGGGAGGCAGCAGUGGGGAAUCUUAGACAAUGGGGGCAACCCUGAUCUAGCCAUGCCGCGUGAGUGAUGAAGGCCUUAGGGUUGUAAAGCUCUUUCAGCUGGGAAGAUAAUGACGGUACCAGCAGAAGAAGCCCCGGCUAACUCCGUG
RNAcentral lists this ribosomal RNA (433 nucleotides) under uncultured bacterium. Its description in RNAcentral is "partial 16S ribosomal RNA". It matches the Rfam family "Bacterial small subunit ribosomal RNA", at positions 29 to 507 of the family's 1533-position model. The record is from RNAcentral.